Molecule: long non-coding RNA, 4829 nt
Organism: Zea mays
Lineage: Eukaryota; Viridiplantae; Streptophyta; Magnoliopsida; Poales; Poaceae
Exons: 3
Source: RefSeq, a predicted model, not a curated record
GGUCAAAACGGAGAACGGAUCUCCGAUGCUACCGCUCUGCUUGCCCAUAAAUUGGAUGGUCCUAACUGUUGGCCGUCUCGGUCGACCUGGAGCAAAAGCGGCGGGUGUGCGCUGCUUGGAUUGCAGCCAUUAAGAGAGAGAAACAAGGGUAGAAGGACGUGGGUCCAUUCGCGGGUGAGAAUUGAGCUCGUCCGCAACCUUCACGCAGUGCCAGACAAUGGUGCAUCCUUGCACUACGCGAGGACUCGCCCACGGGGUCACUGUGUCGGAGACCGGGUGCCUCGUUGUCGACGUCAAGAGAUCCGGCGCGCCACCAGUCUCCGUGGACAACUACACUGGUGCCUCGAAAACGCCAUGCGGUUCGUCGGGAGGAUACGAACGCGUGUGUGGCGCGCGGGCAGCCCUAUACCUGGGCGAUGGGAGGAACAAGACGAUGUCACGUCCGUUAGGAUGGAGAUCGACGGCUAGGCUUAGGCGAUGAUUCCUGGCCAUAGAUCUGGGAGUCAACGGUGGAGAUUAGAACGGGGCAUACCUCUUCGGUGUUUAGAUCCCGACCAUUGAUCUGGCUGCUGGCGACCCAGAUUAAAUGGUGGCUAACGCUUCGGCUAGAGUGAUCUGGAUCGUUAGAUAUGGAUCGGGCGGACGCGGUUGCAUACCGAUUCGCUGUAUAAUCUCGGCCCUUGAUCCUUCAUCGGGCGACCCCAGUUGGCUCAUUACCCUUCGGCUGACAUCUUUGCUCCAAAGACCCCCCGAGUUUUUCUCUAAACAACCCGCAGUGCUAGGCAGUUCUAAGAACCUUGCAAUUAGGCCCUGUUUUUAACACUUUGGCCCUUGCGUUCCUAGAAAAUUGUACCCGCCAUCCAGAGACAUUGGUAAUUCUUGGAAUAAAUCAAGAAAUUGAUUUUUAACUAUAAGAUAAACCCGAAAACCUUAGAAAAAAUCAUAUCUUCUGCGUCUUAACUCCGAUUUAAUCCGUUCCAGUUACGUUUGCUUCAUAAAAAUAUUAUCUACGCAGUAACAACAUUAAUUAUAUCAUAUUGCAUGAUUUUAUAGUUAGAAAUUUAUUCAUCCUAUGUCUACUAGAUUAACUCUGCUAAAUCAAAACUAACCCAACCAUAAUCAUAAUGUGGUUAAAACAUGAUCUCUAGUCAAGUAUAAUCUAGGUUAAGGUUGAAUUGAUUAUUUAGAGUAUAUUUUCUCAUUGGAUGUACAAUAAUCAAUUCAUAAUUUAAUAUUCCAACCACGUAGAUCUUUGUAACACCCCUGGUGUUACGUUAACUAAAACUCUGACAUGUCAUCAUAAGCAUUUGUAUUAUCUUGUUUGAUAUACCUAGAAUGCAUUCACUAGGUCAAAAUUUUUUAGUGAAUAUGGUGUUGCCCUAUUAGAGUAUAGGGCUCAGAUUAAGAACUUUGCUUAAGACAUGGGAAGAGAAGUCAUCUCUUGAGCAAGUAAUAAGUUGGCUUGGAAUUUGAAGUAUUAAAGGUAAUACUUUGCUUUCAAAGGUGGGUUGAGUGGAAGAAUUAAUUGAGGAACUGGAUUAACAUUAAAAACCUUAAGUGAGAUUUCAAAACCUUGCUUGGAAUUGUGGAUAAACAAAACAACUCCUAAACCAAGGACACUUUGGACAUGAGCUUCAUAUACUAGAGUUGAAUUUGAGAUUAAGGGGAGUCACUUAGCUUUUAGGAGUAUGGAUUGAGUUGAUAAAUCACUAGAUGAGAAGGAGUCACAUUUGAAACCCUCAACUAGCCCAAAAGUGGAGUUUUAAAUCUAGAGAGAAUUUGCUAGUUGUCCAUAUAUCAAAGUUGUAGAUUUUGGUAAGUUGAACAACUUUUAUGUAUGGAGAAUUCCAAGUUUUAGAGGAAAAGUUGGAGUAAAAAGUUUAAUUCAGUUUUGAAUCAGAUUUGAAGUUUGCUGAAAAUAAUAUCAACUAGCUGUUUUUGGGUCCUCAUAACUUUGGAUCUAUAAACUGUUUGAAGAUGAUCAUUAUAACAAAGUUAUAGAGAUACAUGAGGAGUAUAAGUUUUGUUAAUACACUUAGCCCUAAAGCUAUUUGGAACCUAGAGAAAAGCUGGCCUAAAGUAGAGUUGUCUGAAAGUGGGGAUUUCAGACAGUGAAAUUCAGUCUGAAUUUCAGCAAUUGGAGCAAACUUUGGGCUAUUGUAGUUUGGGAUCCAAGAGGCUUUGGUUAAUGGUCACUAUAUAAAACUUGUAGAGGAACUAUAGGAGUAUAAACUUUACUGAGAAACUUGCCCCUAGAAACAAUUGGAACCCAAGAAAAAGAGUGGUUCAAAGUGGUGCUGCUGUGUUUCUGAAUAUUCAUAUUGGAAACAGUAACUGAAUUUCAGUGUUUUGAUAGCAGUUUUGAAGCCUAUUUGUGGCUAUUCUAUAAGGUUUUGUGCUGUGGUGUUUGUAGAAUAAGUGAAGACCAUAUAAUGUGGAACAACUUUCUUAUAGGGUGGUGGACCUGAUCCCAUACAAAAAGUGCAGAAAUAGUUCCUCAAAGAUUGGAUUGUCAGGUUGGUUAAUAACUGAAUUUUAAUUCAGUUCUGAACCCUGAAUGGCAGCAAGUUGUCCAGUUUGGAGCUCUAUGAUAAUUAAUCUAUGGAGAUUUUGGUUACGAGUUCUGUAAAAAAGUCAAAGUCCAUAUGAAGGGGAACAACUUUUAUGCAAAGGGUUGACUUGUUACUGUGUGUAAUCUAGAGAAAAAGGGGUGACAAAACUCUCUGCCAGACCCAGUAUUGUGCUGUUUAAUAAAUCCAAAACUGAAUUUUGAGUGUUUUGCUUAACUUUGGAUUGCAAUAACUCUUGCUCUAAAUAUUUUCAACCUGUGAUUUCUAUACCAAGUUGGUAGAACUAUGUAUAGAGAACAACUUUUGUGAAGGGAGCAUGGUCUGUUGCUAUGAAAAAUUGAAAGAUCAGAGGGUUUGAACUGGGAGGAAUUAAAUGGGGCAGCAGGUUGAUGAAGUGAUUCAGUGUGUGGAGGUGUAACUGAAGAAGAAUCUUUUUCUCUGCUGUGCUCCACUGACAUAUUAAGCUGUCUUAUGGGGGAAGUGCAUGACUGAUACUUUGAGGCUACUCUCCACCAAAAAUAUCUAAUUUGGACUAUUUUGGAGCAGUAAAUAGUGGAGAAUUGAUCGGUUGGUCUGCUGUCUGCAGUAGGGGACAAAAGAGAUACAUGUAUGUGUAUAGUUGAGAUAAGUGUGGAGGGUAUAACUGAGGUCUAGAACCCACCCUCAGCUGGAAAGAAUAUCCUGUUCUUGGACAUAUUGAAGCAUAUCCCCAACUGAUAUUUGUGUUGAGAAAAUGGACCAGGUUCAGUGUCCUAACCAAGGUUGUGUACUGGUGGGGUAUGAGAGCAUGUUAGCCACGUGUUGAAGUCCAUAUGUUGCUGGCGCUCUGAGACACACUGCUUCACUGCAUGUUGGCCAUGUCUAGGGACGUUUUCUAUAUAUAUGGUGGCUCUAAAAUCUGGUUCAGUGAAGGAUUCACCUGGCCUUCGGAUUCUAGCCCAAGACCAGUGUAAAAGUGUGGAAGUCCUUGUGCUCCAGUUGAUGCUAGUCUCUUUCCAGCCAUUAGGUUUGAUCUGCACAAGUGUUGGCACACCAUCGGCCUGCCAGUAGUGACCACGCCGGUCAGUUUGGCCAUCUCGUCGUGGCCAAGACAACCCAGCAAGGUACACGAUCGUACUAUGUUUGUUCUGUGAUCAAUCCAUGUGCUUUUAGGCUCUAGUUUCUGUAGCAAACUUGGAGAUAAAUAUUGGGGAAGUAACCCUUGGUAAGGAUCAUGCCCUUGAAUAUGCUUAGAACAGGGAGAAAAUGGUGUUCCAAAACAUGCUGUUAGACUUUAAUUUCAGACUUGAUUCAGUUAUCUAAAACUGAUUUUCAGUGAGUUUUGCUCAACUUCGGAGCUUUCUUGUGGCUAAUCUAUGGGGUUAUGGACUAUGGUUUCUAUAGUAAAAUGGAAGACCAUACAAUAGUGAACAAGUUUUCUUAAAUAAGGUUGACUUUGUACUGCAUGAAAAGUGGAGUAAUAGUUGCUUAAAACUGGGACUGUCAGUUACAGAAACUGAAUUUCAAUCAGUGCCUGAAAACUGAAGUUGCACUGUUUGGUGUCAGUUUGGGAACACUUUUGUGACCAUUCCACCAGGUGUUAGGCUAAGAACUAUGUAACAAGGUUGGAGACCAAGUAAAGAAGUACAAGUUUUGUUAUGUGGGUCUGACUUGGUGCUUAACAAACUUUAGAGUAAAAUGCACCUAAACUUCCUCUGUCAGACUGUCUGGGGGACUGUUUCACUUCAGCUGAAACUGAACCUCUUAGUGUUUUUGCUCUACUUUUGUGUCCCAUAAUUUUUGUUCUAUGUGGUUUCAGCCUAGGGGUAUUGUACCAAAGUGGAAGAGCAAUGAUUUUAGAGUACUUUUUAUUAGGGAAGAAGGGGCCGUUGUUGAGGAAGUUUGUGAGAUAAAGUAGACCAAACUGGGAGCUGUGCAAUGGGACACUGAUGUCAGGGAAGUUGAUUCAGUGUUUGGGAUAGGAAAUUGAGGAAGAUUUUUCUCCCUUUCCUGUGCUCCACUGGUGUGCUCGAGUUGGGAUACGGGUGGGGUGCAAAACCAAGGAUCUAGUGACUUCAGCUCUGCUUCAAAAUAUCUAGUUUUGGAUUGUUUGGGAGAUGUGGACAAAAGAGAUCAUAUCUGUUUUGUCUACUAUCUGCAGAUAUCUACUACCUGCAGAUUUGGACCAAGUGAUAUUUGUGUGUUGGGGGCAUUAAAGUUUCUUUGCUGGUUAUUUGAGGUAAUAAAAAGGGGAGCUGAACUUGAGGUUUCAGUCGAGUA